Molecule: ribosomal RNA, 301 nt
Filed under: uncultured bacterium
Lineage: Bacteria
Description: partial 16S ribosomal RNA
Rfam family: Bacterial small subunit ribosomal RNA
Source: RNAcentral
CAGUAGCCGCGGGAAUACGUAGGGUGCAAGCGUUAAUCGGAAUUACUGGGCGUAAAGCGUGCGCAGGCGGUGUUGUAAGACUGAUGUAAAAUCCCCGGGCUCAACCUGGGAACUGCAUUGGUGACUGCAACGCUGGAGUGCGGCAGAGGGGGAUGGAAUUCCGCGUGUAGCAGUGAAAUGCGUAGAUAUGCGGAGGAACACCGAUGGCGAAGGCAAUCCCCUGGGCCUGCACUGACGCUCAUGCACGAAAGCGUGGGGAGCAAACAGGAUUAGAUACCCCCGUAGUCCCUGUCUCUUAUAC